Long non-coding RNA from Manis javanica (Malayan pangolin), 1533 nucleotides. RefSeq lists it as uncharacterized. NCBI's taxonomy places the organism in Eukaryota, Metazoa, Chordata, Mammalia, Pholidota, Manidae. The record is from RefSeq and is a predicted model, not a curated record.
CCUGAACUCCGAGCCAGGGCGCAACGAGGAGAGGGUAAUGCUGCCACCAGGGGGCACUAGAGAUCACGUGCAGCGGAGGGGCUCGCGCGGCCUCUCUGACCCUAUAAGACUGGAAGGAUUUGGGAGGUGUCUGACACCUACUCCAGGCCCUCUCCUCAACGCCUACCCCACACCCCAGGGCCAGCGUCUUCUCAGGGGUGAUUCUCGCAGAGGAACUUCGCAGUUCCCUUAGAGUUACUGCUGAGAAAACUUUCGUUCUGCAAAGGCUGACUGAUCAACGACGUCUUGAAAAGACCCCAUCACGACUAGACCAAGGGAUCUGGAAUCUGUAUCUGGCAGGCCAGUCUGACAAGCUGGGCAGUGACAUACCCCAGGACCUUCAUCCUGGCUUCAUACUCUGUCAGUGCCUCCUGCUGGAACUGUAAGGACAGCAAAGACCACCACCUGGCUCAGGAAGGGCCUCCUGCCUACACUCCCUCCCCUGGAGAGCAGAGCAAGAUGACCUGGGACUCAGUCUGUUCGGAGUGCUCAGGAGACUGGGGCGGAGGUGUGGGGCAUUGGAGCCCAUCAGGGAGCCUCUCAGGGCAGAAAGUGGAAGGGCGAGGAUGCCGCCUAGUGGGCGCACUGGAAAGCAUGUGCCAGCUGAGAAUCCAGGCAAAGCAGACGCUCCAGGAAGUCACCGGUGUGUCUGUCAUUUGUGAUCCAUGGAGACACAUACGCUGGGGAGUUUGGCAGGAACCAAGCAAGAAGAAAGAAGUUUAAUUUGCAACAGAAGACAUACAACAUGCAUUCAAAAAGAUGAUGGAAGGAGGCUCUGGGUUGGCUUUCCUCGGAAUCUUUCAGAAUAAUUCGCCUAGGUAUAUUGGUAUGAUCCAUCCAAGAAGACUGGAAAGCAAGGAAAUAAGAGGACUACAUCCAGAGACAAUUCAGGGAUUUUUAACUUAACAGGCUACUAGAUGGGCCAUGGCUGAUCUGGAAGCAGGAUGGGAAAGGAGUGGUUAUCUUCUCCCUCAACCCACAGAAGGCAAUAAACAUUCCAAACUUCCAAUGUCCUUAACAUUUCUCAGAAAGUAAAAAGCCAGGAUCGUCCUGGAAAUAGCACCCAGUUGGCCACAGCCAGGCAGACUCACACCUGGGCUGAGGAAUCAAAGUGAGGCACAAGGUUACAGGCCUAGGGUUCCAGCAAGAGCAGCACACUCGCUCUGGUAGCCCCUGACUUCUCUACAGUUCAAGUGGCAGGGCAGCAGUGCUGGGGAGCCGCUUCCUCAUAAGGGUCAGAGAGGGGAAACUGGUAGGGUGGGAAGGGUCCUGCCCCCAGAAUCAGAAACCAGGAGUUAGACUCACACAUGCAGGGGCCAGAGGGGACUACCCACAGAUUCCCAUGGGGAUCACAGUCCUCUCUCACACAUACACACACACUCACACAGGCACAUAUUCCCACACCCACUGACAACCAGGCAGUCCAUACACCCAGCUCUGGGAACACAGGAAGUACAUUCAAGGAGGAGGGAACCAGAAAUUCUGGAAAGCCUU